Molecule: ribosomal RNA, 814 nt
Filed under: uncultured Sphingobacteriia bacterium
Lineage: Bacteria; Pseudomonadati; Bacteroidota; Sphingobacteriia
Description: bacterial SSU rRNA
Rfam family: Bacterial small subunit ribosomal RNA
Source: RNAcentral
UGCAAGUCGAGGGGCAGCAGGGGUGUAGCAAUACACUCGCUGGCGACCGGCAAACGGGUGCGGAACACGUACGCAACUUACCCAAAACUGGGGAAUAGCCCGGGGAAACCCGGAUUAAUACCUCGUAACAUAAUGAGGUGGCAUCACUUUAUUAUUAUAGCUCCGGCGGUUUUGGAUGGGCGUGCGCCUGAUUAGGUAGUUGGCGGGGUAACGGCCCACCAAGCCUACGAUCAGUAACUGGUGUGAGAGCACGACCAGUCACACGGGCACUGAGACACGGGCCCGACUCCUACGGGAGGCAGCAGUAAGGAAUAUUGGUCAAUGGACGCAAGUCUGAACCAGCCAUGCCGCGUGAAGGAUGAAGGUCCUCUGGAUUGUAAACUUCUUUUAUAUGGGAAGAAAUUCCCGCAUUCUUGCGGGAUUGACGGUACCAUAGGAAUAAGCACCGGCUAACUCCGUGCCAGCAGCCGCGGUAAUACGGAGGGUGCAAGCGUUAUCCGGAUUCACUGGGUUUAAAGGGUGCGUAGGAGGGCAGGUAAGUCAGUGGUGAAAUCUCCAAGCUUAACUUGGAAACUGCCGUUGAUACUAUCUGUCUUGAAUACCGUGGAGGUGACCGGAAUAUGUCAUGUAGCGGUGAAAUGCUUAGAUAUGACAUAGAACACCAAUUGCGAAGGCAGCUCGCUACACGAAUAUUGACUCUGAGGCACGAAAGCGUGGGGAUCAAACAGGAUUAGAUACCCUGGUAGUCCACGCCCUAAACGAUGGAUACUCGACAUACGCGAUACACAGUGUGUGUCUGAGCGAAAGCAUUAAG